This is a long non-coding RNA of Mus musculus (house mouse), 308 nucleotides long. RefSeq annotates it as predicted gene, 41860. The record is from RefSeq and is a predicted model, not a curated record. Lineage: Eukaryota; Metazoa; Chordata; Mammalia; Rodentia; Muridae. The transcript is spliced from 3 exons.
AAGUAUUGGACUCAGGUCAUGAGACUUGACAGCAAGCGCCGUGCUUACUAAGCUAUAUCGUGGACCUACAGAACAAGUCUGAAUUUCAUUUUCUUCCUGUUCCCCUAAUGAUAAUGUACCAUUAUCCACUGUAUCUCCACAUGGUUGGAACUUUCUGCAUUCUUCCUUACUAAAUGGAAAAUGAUGUAGCUGCUAUCCUAAAACCCAGGAGGCAAUGGCAAUUUCUGGUUAAGUUGUAAUUUGUAAAUGUGUUUCCUUACGCACAAUGGCUGGGAAUGUCAUUCAUCAUGGAUGCCACUGACCAUACG